GCUCAGGAUGAACGCUGGCGGCGUGCUUAACACAUGCAAGUCGAACGGGAAAUACUUUAUUGAAACUUCGGCGGAUUUAAUUUAUUUCUAGUGGCGGACGGGUGAGUAACGCGUGGGUAACCUGCCUUAUACUGGGGGAUAACAGCCAGAAAUGGCUGCUAAUACCGCAUAAGCGCACAGAACCGCAUGGUUCGGUGUGAAAAACUCCGGUGGUAUAAGAUGGACCCGCGUUGGAUUAGCUAGUUGGCAGGGCAGCGGCCUACCAAGGCGACGAUCCAUAGCCGGCCUGAGAGGGUGAACGGCCACAUUGGGACUGAGACACGGCCCAGACUCCUACGGGAGGCAGCAGUA
RNAcentral lists this ribosomal RNA (351 nucleotides) under uncultured bacterium. Its description in RNAcentral is "bacterial SSU rRNA". It matches the Rfam family "Bacterial small subunit ribosomal RNA", at positions 22 to 356 of the family's 1533-position model. The record is from RNAcentral.